Paramuricea clavata is the source of this 688-nucleotide non-coding RNA. The record is from the annotation of a GenBank genome assembly. NCBI's taxonomy places the organism in Eukaryota, Metazoa, Cnidaria, Anthozoa, Malacalcyonacea, Plexauridae.
CCGCCAUAUUAAAAAUACUGAAAUCUGCUAGGCGUUCUGAAGCACCUUUAGCGGUGACGUCACACCUAGGUCUCAGUCUCGUACCACAUCCACGUUUUUUCUCGCGCUUGCUUCAGAACGACUGCAUGGGACUAGGCUGGUUAAAAUGGAUUUUAGUGAUUUGAUAAAACAACAUACAACGUCUUAACAUUAACAUUAACGUUAGCAUUAGUUCUUUUCCGUUUCUUAUUUAGACAUUUAGGUUGGAAGAUACAAUAAUUCACUUUUCCCAGUAUGGAUGGAUAGACAAAUUCUCCUGAAUUUCCGACAGAAUCUUCUAAAUUUUCGACGACCCAACCGAGUUGAGCAUCAAGAGUAAGAACACGAUAUUAUUUUCAUAUCACGCCUGUCAUUGCUUUAAGACAACGUAGCUAAUAAACUACCCUUUUAAUAAACUAAAAUUUUCUAAAUGCAGCUUCAAUAAAAACUGUGCUAUUGUUACUAGAUUAUGUCUUAUAUGAAAUUACCUAUUCAACAGUUUACCACAGUAGAUUAUACAAAGAAAAUUAUUGUUCAUUCAACGUUAUUCUACUAUUGACUAACUUGUCGGCGUUGCGUCCGAUACAAUUUGUUUUUUAUUCUGUAAUUCCUUUUGCAGCAAGCUCUUCCUGUACUCUCUUCAGGUAUUUUGGGUCUGGAUAACCAAAGC